ACCUAAUGGUGGGGACACUGAUAGAGUAAAUCUUGAAACCUUUCCUAAGUCUCAUGCAAAUUCUCACCAUCAAUUUGAGAAAAAUUGGUGAUAUCAUGUCUUAUCU
This is a non-coding RNA of Camellia sinensis, 106 nucleotides long. The record is from RefSeq and is a predicted model, not a curated record. Lineage: Eukaryota; Viridiplantae; Streptophyta; Magnoliopsida; Ericales; Theaceae.